Papaver somniferum (opium poppy) is the source of this 2031-nucleotide long non-coding RNA. RefSeq lists it as uncharacterized. The transcript is spliced from 3 exons. Lineage: Eukaryota; Viridiplantae; Streptophyta; Magnoliopsida; Ranunculales; Papaveraceae. The record is from RefSeq and is a predicted model, not a curated record.
UUAUUCUAUUUACUCUUUUUCGUCCGCCCUCUCCUACAAUAACGCCUCCUUCUCCUACUCCUGCACCACCACCAAAACCUCGACCAUUUCAAAAGAAGCUCUGAAUCAUCCAUGGCAUAUACAGAUAGAAUUAUAGGGGUUUGUUUAUCGUUGAAUGGUUGAUUGAGGCGAUCAAUUCGUUGUUCAUUUUCCGACGCUAAUUCUUACUAGAAAUUCAGUAAAUUAAAUUGUAUUUAGGUUUCGAUUUGGGUUUUUAGAUCUACUCGGUGUUGAUUGUUAAAUUAAAUUAUAGUUCGGCUUCGAUUUGGUUUUUCAGAUCUACUAGGUUUUGAUUAUGAAAUUGGUGUCGUUACUGAUGGAUCUUGAGCAGGGUUCGUUGUUAAUUGAAACGUGUCCAAGUUAGCAGAGAAAUCUCUUGGAUUUAUCAAAAUGUUUUCGGAAUUAUACGAUUAGAAUAGCAUGAUCCUAUAAUUUUGGUGGAGCUUCCUAACUGGUACUGGGAUUCAUCUAUUGCAGUCAGAAUCCCCAAAAAAUAUGUCAAAGAAAAUGAGUAUAAAUCCCAAAUAGGAACACAUCUCGUUUCAUAAAGAUGCUUGAAAUUUUGGAUUUGAUAUUUUCUCCUUCCCAUUGUUUUUUUUUAUCCGCAUCAAAAUGAUAUUCCUUUGCCAUUGUCAUGUGUAGCUUAAUCAAAAGAGUCAUAAAUGAGAAUCCGUUUACAUGGUUUCUGUCUAAGCUGUUUUUUUCCUUCUAAUUCGCGAUUUGGUUGUGUAAAAUUUAUCUUUUUACAUGUAAUGGUUGCAGUCAAGUUGCUAACGACGCUGUCGGGAGUAUAAAAACAGUGGCUUCCUUUAGGUGAUGGCUUUGGAUAAAAAGAAAAGUGAAAGUCCAGUUUAAGCUGGUAUAAGACUUGGAUUAAUUUGUGGGGUUGCAUUUGAUUAAUGGGAGCUCAAUUUGUGGAGAUUGGAAGGAUGUCAUUUGCUGAUGUUUUUCAAGUUUUCGUUGCUCUCACAAUGACUACAAUUGUAGAUACAAACAAUUUGGCAAAGCUCUAUACUUGAACUGGCUGAUUGUUUACUUGCGAGGUGUUGGUGGCUUCUCAAAAUCAUCACCCCAUAUUCGUGUAGCAAGUUCCCCACCGGCCUGUCAGAUUAAGCCUGUUCAGUUUGCAAAAAUCUAGUAAACUAAAUUACUAGAUAUCCAUACCCCUAUUGUCUGUUUCAUUUGUUCAAUGGACUUGUAUAACACCUCUUAUAAUUUCUCUUGCAGGUACACAACAAGUCCGCAUUUGUUCAAUGAACUUGUAUAAUACGCUCUUGUAAUUUCUCCUGCAGUAGAAUAGACAGUUGAUGAAAUUGGUUUCAUCGUAUUUUUGCUAAUUUUUGUCGACGAAACCAAUUUGUUGGUGAUAUAAUAAUAAUUUUUUCUGUUGAAACCAAUUUUGGUUUCAUCUAAAAUGUGCUUUUUUUCCAGAUUUUAUGUCGAUGAAACCAAUUUUGUUGGUGAUACGGUAAUUUAUGUUGAAACGAGUUUUGGUUGCUUCUAAUUUUAUUUCACUUUUUAUCGACGAAACCAAUAUUAUUGGUAAUACGAUAACUUUAUGUUGAGACGAGCUUUGGUUUCAUUUUUUAUUUAUUUUUCCCCGACGAAACGAAUAUUUUUGGUGAUACAAUAAUUUAUGUUAAACGAGUUUCGGUUUCAUCUAAUUUUAUUGCAGUUUUUUUUUAUAGUUUUUGUGGACAAAACCAAUCUUAUUGGUGAUACUAGAAUUUUAUGUUGAAACAAAUUUUGGUUUCAUGUUCCAUAAUCGUCGACAAGACCAAAUUGUAGUUUAUUAUUGGAACUAAUUUUGGUUUCAACAUAUUUUUUCAUUUUGUUGACAUAUAUUUUUUUCAUUUUGUUGACAUAUUCUUGGCGGCGACGAUGGUGCUGGUGGUUGGCGAUGGUGGGCGGCAGCGGUGCUGGUGGUCGGUGGUGGCGGCGGCAGUAAUCAGCGGUGGUGCUGACUGGUGGCGGUGGACAGUGGACGGUGGU